RNAcentral lists this ribosomal RNA (253 nucleotides) under uncultured bacterium. RNAcentral describes it as "partial 16S ribosomal RNA". It matches the Rfam family "Bacterial small subunit ribosomal RNA", at positions 524 to 776 of the family's 1533-position model. The record is from RNAcentral.
GACGAACCGUGCGAACGUUGUUCGGAAUCACUGGGCUUAAAGGGUGCGUAGGCGGCGUGGCAAGUCUGAUGUGAAAUCCCGGGGCUCAACCCCGGAACUGCAUUGGAUACUGCCAUGCUAGAGUACUGGAGAGGAGAUUGGAAUUUACGGUGUAGCAGUGAAAUGCGUAGAUAUCGUAAGGAAGACCAGUGGCGAAGGCGAAUCUCUGGACAGUUACUGACGCUGAGGCACGAAGGCCAGGGGAGCAAACGGG